UUACGGCCAAAUCAAGUUGAAACACUGGUUCCAAUAUGAUCACUGAAGUUAAGGAAUGUUGAGCCUGGUUAGUACAUAGAUGGGUGACUGCUUAGGAAUACCUGGUGCUGUAAG
Acanthosepion pharaonis is the source of this 114-nucleotide non-coding RNA. The record is from the annotation of a GenBank genome assembly. Lineage: Eukaryota; Metazoa; Mollusca; Cephalopoda; Sepiida; Sepiidae.